Notechis scutatus (mainland tiger snake) is the source of this 243-nucleotide non-coding RNA. The record is from RefSeq and is a predicted model, not a curated record. Lineage: Eukaryota; Metazoa; Chordata; Lepidosauria; Squamata; Elapidae.
GCUUCAAGGAAGCCAUGCAGCUGCUGGAAGACUACAAGCAGGGCUCGCUGCCCCCGGGAACCACCAACCAAGAGCUUUGGAGAGCACAGAAAAUAAAACAGGCCAUCAUCCAUCCGGACACGAACGAGACCAUCUUCAUGCCUUUCCGAAUGUCAGGUUACAUUCCUUUUGGCACGCCUAUUGUAAGUGUGAAAGCCUUCCACCUUCGUUCUGCGUAGCAAGAAAUGCCUUUCUUAGUUUUGA